UAUACCUUCAUUUCUUCAAAAACUACUGGAUUUCUGUAAUUAAUAUCAGGUUGUUUGACGGUGAACUGAUGUAAAUAAUACUGCCCUCUUUCUUCAUUCCAUUCCCAAGCUGAUUUUCCAAAACGUGAAAUCUGCAAUAGUUAUUAGGUGGAUGACGUUUUCCUCUGAUAUAUUUCGCGUCUUUCCAAACAUAGUAGUCGGUAUAAGGAGGAAUUCUUUGAACAGAUUUUGUGAACCAUUCGUGCUCAUCACUCGUAUGAUUAGAUAUGUAGAUAUUUACCCAUUGCGUGAGCUUUGUGAAGAAAACGAUCGAAGUCGUCCAUGGUUCCGAAAAUGGGAUCAAUUUCUCUAAAAUUAGACACAUCGUAUCCAAAAUCAGCCAUUGGAGAUUUGAGAACAGGAGAUAACCAAAGACAUCCUACGCCUAGUUUCUUCAAGUCACCGGUUCCAUCUGCAUUUCCAUCUUUGAACGAUCUCGGAUAAAUUUGGUAAAUUACUUCGGUCUGCCACCAAUCCAACUGGUUCUUUUUUUCUGCACCAUGAAGAGAUGAAAAACAACAAACCAACACCAAAAAGUUCAAUAAUAAACUCAUUUUGAAGACAGACAAGAACUACUUCGGUGGCAAUAUAAUGGAACCGUUGUAUCGACGGAAAUUACCUCAUGUUACAUACAAAGAAAACGUGUACGCCUACUGUAUUUUAUAUAUUUUCAAAUAUAUUUUUUUUUCUUUGCCA
Planococcus citri (citrus mealybug) is the source of this 735-nucleotide long non-coding RNA. RefSeq lists it as uncharacterized. The record is from RefSeq and is a predicted model, not a curated record. The transcript has 4 exons. Lineage: Eukaryota; Metazoa; Arthropoda; Insecta; Hemiptera; Pseudococcidae.